GUCACACCAUGGGAGUGGGUUGCAAAAGAAGUAGGUAGCUUAACCUUCGGGAGGGCGCUUACCACUUUGUGAUUCAUGACUGGGGUGAAGUCGUAACAAGGUAACCGUAGGGGAACCUGCGGUUGGAUCACCUCCUUA
RNAcentral lists this ribosomal RNA (138 nucleotides) under Escherichia coli. Its description in RNAcentral is "partial 16S ribosomal RNA". It matches the Rfam family "Bacterial small subunit ribosomal RNA", at positions 1396 to 1533 of the family's 1533-position model. Lineage: Bacteria; Pseudomonadati; Pseudomonadota; Gammaproteobacteria; Enterobacterales; Enterobacteriaceae. The record is from RNAcentral. RNAcentral also lists the same sequence under 15 other names.